AACGUAGGAGACGAACGUUAUCCGGAGUUACUGGGCGUAAAGGGCGUGUAGGCGGUUUGUUAAGUCUGGCGUGAAAGCUCUCGGCUAAACCGGGAGAGGUCGUUGGAUACUGGCGAACUAGAGGAUGGUAGAGGCGUGUGGAAUUCCGGGUGUAGUGGUGAAAUGCGUAGAGAUCCGGAGGAACACCAGUGGCGAAGGCGACACGCUGGGCCAUACCUGACGCUAAAGCGCGACAGCGUGGGGAGCAAACGGG
This 253-nucleotide ribosomal RNA is filed under the name uncultured bacterium. RNAcentral describes it as "partial 16S ribosomal RNA". It matches the Rfam family "Bacterial small subunit ribosomal RNA", at positions 524 to 776 of the family's 1533-position model. The record is from RNAcentral.